This 497-nucleotide ribosomal RNA is filed under the name uncultured bacterium. Its description in RNAcentral is "partial 16S ribosomal RNA". It matches the Rfam family "Bacterial small subunit ribosomal RNA", at positions 28 to 507 of the family's 1533-position model. The record is from RNAcentral.
GAUGAACGCUGGCGGCGUGCCUAAUACAUGCAAGUCGAGCGAACAGACGAGGAGCUUGCUCCUCUGACGUUUGCGGAGGACGGGUGUGUAACAUGUGGAUAACCUACCUAUAAGACUGGGAUAACUUCGGGACACCGGCGCUAAUACCGGAUAAUAUCUUGAACCGUAGGGUUCAAUAGUGAAAGUCGGUUUUGGUGUCACUGAUAGAUGGAUCCGAGCCGGUUUGGCUGGUUGGUACGGUAACGGCUUAUCAAGGCGACGAUGCGUAGCCGAGCUGAGAGGCGGAUCGGCCACACUGGAACUGAGACACGGUCCAUACGCCUACGGUAGGCAGCAGUAGGGAAUCUGCCGCAAUGGGCGGAAACCUGACACAGCGGCGCCGCGUGAGUGAUGAAGGUCUCCGGAUCGUAAAACUCUGUUAUUAGGGAAAAACAAAUUUGUAAGUAACUAUGCACGGCUUGACGGUACCUAAUCAAAAAGCCACGGCUAACUACGUG